Long non-coding RNA from Triticum dicoccoides, 1267 nucleotides. RefSeq lists it as uncharacterized. The record is from RefSeq and is a predicted model, not a curated record. Lineage: Eukaryota; Viridiplantae; Streptophyta; Magnoliopsida; Poales; Poaceae. The transcript has 2 exons.
UGGUGGGGAGGCGCGGAAAUCAGCCGUGGAAGGAAUCGAGAGGUUAGAGACGAGGGAUCAACGGAUGGCUCGCCUGUUUCGCUAAGAAGAUAAGGUUGGGCAGGGCCCACAACGACGCGUGGCGUGCGGAGCGGGCGGUUUAUGUGAGUUGUGUUAUCAGCCGGUUGACACAAAGAGAUUUCCCCAACAAAUCCCUCCUCCUUUCUCCGUGGUGGCCCCCACUCCCGCUGCCGCCUUGGCCCGCGCCCCGUCGCCACCACCUCCACCUCCGCGCCUCUGCGGCCAACAUCUCUUCCUGCCGCCCCGACAAGAUGCCACCACCACCUCCCGCUGCUGCGGCCGCACACCACCACUCCCGGCAUGGUCAACGCCUCCAUUAGACUACCUUCCCGCCCCCAAGCGCCGCCUUGAAGUAGCCCCCACCCCUAACCGUCGAUAAGCUCAGGGGCCUGCCUCUUCCCGCUGCCCCGGCGAGGGACGGAGCUCGUCGCUCCCGGAGGCUGCCCUCCUCCCCGGUGGUGAACCCGGCGAGAUAUGGACCUCAUUGUGAUGCGGAUCUGGAUUCGGGGUCGUCUGUGUCGUCCCGGAUGUACCCGAUGGCCACCAUGCACCGGCCGUCGUGCGCCUACAUCCAGUCGGCUCCGUGCGUCCUGUUCCUGCCCAAGCUCGUCCUCCCGUGACUCCCUUUGUGGAGACUUUUUUGACCCAAUCGCUGGUCCGGCGACUCCCAACUGGCGGGCUGACUCCGACGGUCCGACGAGCCCCUCUACUGAGAAUAAAAUCGAUUGGCCCCUGUGCUUGGAGGUGAGCGUGUGCUUGGCCAUGGCAGCGACAGCACGGCCGACGGCGGCGGCUAGAAUGUGCACCUCAUUUCCUUUUGAUGAUUAGCAACCAAACACCCAAUCCAGAAGGUUGAAGCAGUGCAGCGUCUGAUAUCGUGUCCUGAACUUCUGCUUCUGCUUCAGUACUUGUAGUACUAGGUGUAGAUAUAUAUAGGCGUCAGGAAGGUUUUUGUUCACAGCCAAAGUUUUGCUAAGUUAUAUAUGCAUCGUCAGGUACAUGUGGGCACGUUAAAGUACAUGUAAGUGAAGAUACUGUAAAAAUGGAACAAUUCUGCUUAGUUCGGCCUCCUGCCGUCCUGCGAUGCAAUUGCAACAAAAUGCAGGACGAGUCGUGUGGCCAGACACCCGUUGUUUUGCGUCCUAACUCUCCUGCUUUCCUGUAUUUAGACUUGCUUAGAGCCAGGAACAUGUCACUGUUACAAAUC